Molecule: long non-coding RNA, 469 nt
Filed under: Fragaria vesca (wild strawberry)
Lineage: Eukaryota; Viridiplantae; Streptophyta; Magnoliopsida; Rosales; Rosaceae
Description: long non-coding RNA (FVES_LNC002514)
Source: RNAcentral
AAUUGAUAACAUAGACUUUCAAUUCACCAUAUAUAAACCGUACACAAACCUAGCUAGGCCAUAAGAGAUUAACAAAAAGCACCAUCAUUAUGUUCAACUGCCUCAUAUGCAGUCCAACAUGGUAACACAGCAAAAAGAACUACAUAAUUUGGGCAAACAUACAGUACACAUCAAAAUAUGACUGCAAAUCAAAUGCUGGCAUAAAUCUAUAGGCAAGCUGAUGGAUGCUUUGUAUCGAACUACAUAAUCUGGGCAAACAUACAGUACACAUCAAAAUAUGACUGUAAAUCAAAUGCUGGCAUAAAUCUAUAGGCAAACUGAUGGAUGCUUUGUAUCUCCAAAACAGUACUAAAUGAAACCAUACACUAGCUUGCUAGUUAUUUGUAAACUUAAGAACAUACUUUGCCCACUCUUGCCGAAUAACAUCAACAUUCUCCAUGGUGUAAUAUGCAUCUCCCCUUGUCAACCA